UGUGUGCUGACCCGAAAACAACACUUUAGAAGAUUAGGUCUUCUAACUAACAUGUAACAAACGGCAAAGCAUAACAAGUGAGAAAACCCAGUUCAUCAUCUUGGAGUGCCGCCGUCCCUCUCUUCCUCCCAUCUCCCUCUCAUUAAAUUUCUAUCCCAACUUAUCACCUCUUUAAUAUUUUGGAUUGAGUUCCUUACAACUGCUUCUUUGUUUUCUCCAUUCUUCAGAUCUACUGCUGCAGUCUUCAUUGUCUCACUUCUUCUAUUUUUCAGUUUUU
RNAcentral lists this long non-coding RNA (277 nucleotides) under Medicago truncatula (barrel medic). Its description in RNAcentral is "long non-coding RNA (MTRU_LNC004309)". Lineage: Eukaryota; Viridiplantae; Streptophyta; Magnoliopsida; Fabales; Fabaceae. The record is from RNAcentral.